Long non-coding RNA from Patiria miniata (bat star), 216 nucleotides. RefSeq lists it as uncharacterized. The record is from RefSeq and is a predicted model, not a curated record. Lineage: Eukaryota; Metazoa; Echinodermata; Asteroidea; Valvatida; Asterinidae. The transcript is spliced from 3 exons.
CUCAGCACAAUAAGUGUGUCAAGCGUGCGUUUCAUUCUGCACAAACACAUGUCUUUUUUCAGGGACAUUGUUCAUGAGAAGAUCACGUUCCCAAGUCACGAGGUAUACAAAAGGGGUCCUUUUCAUCAAGCAAGAAUGCCGCCCCCUAGAUUCGGGAAACUGUCCGAAGACAACUACGAGGUAGUCUUCACUGAACUGUUCGAUGAAUUUGGAAAU